CCCUCUCUCUCUCCCUCCCCGCCUCCAUCCUAUUGGUUCUGUUUUUCUGGAGAAUCCUGACAAAUACACCAGAUGAGGAAAUGGGCUCAGAGAGAUUAAAGAGCAUGUCCAAUGUCACAGACUAAAAGAGACAGAAUAACUUAUCAAUCUGUUAUGAAAUAUCACCUUUCCUACAUUGAAGGAAGUGAACUAAAGCUUUGAGAGAUCUGAAGAAGACACUCCAGGGAUGAACAGAGCUUCACAUCCCUAAAUCCACCCUUAAAAUGUUUUGCCUGUUGUCAGGCUCUUCUGUGGACCCACAACUUCAUGAAAAUUCUGUGAGCUGACUUCUCCCCUCUGCCUCAGACAAAGCCCAUAAG
This is a long non-coding RNA of Pteropus alecto (black flying fox), 359 nucleotides long. RefSeq lists it as uncharacterized. NCBI's taxonomy places the organism in Eukaryota, Metazoa, Chordata, Mammalia, Chiroptera, Pteropodidae. The transcript has 5 exons. The record is from RefSeq and is a predicted model, not a curated record.